Molecule: non-coding RNA, 83 nt
Organism: Parcubacteria bacterium 34_609
Lineage: Bacteria; Candidatus Parcubacteria
Source: Rfam
GCCUCGGUGAUGAAACCGGUAAACAUACAGCACUUAAAAUGCUGCGGGCAUAGCCCUUGUGGGUUCGAGUCCCACCCGAGGCA